AGAAAAAAAAAGAAUCUCUUUUAUUUCAGGCAGAAUGCAAUGACUUCAGUCCAUCCAAAUGAGAAGAUCCAGAAAAAGGGAAUGAAACACAGACUCGUUCAAUUUUAAAAAGGGGGGGGGAGAGGGAGGAAUAAACCAUUAUUACGAGAGGAGGGCAGAAUCUGAAAGUAGGUUUGUUUGCUGGGGGGUGGGGGAAGAGUGUUGCAACGGAAGAGGGGGACUCAAAGCAUGGGGGGUAAGGGAGAUGUUAGGAAGAGAAAGCUCCAGUUUUGGGGUUUUUUAUUUUUUUAUUUUUAGGAAAAAUAGAUUUUUGGCACUGCUGGCUGGGCGCUAGGGGUGAUGAGAACAUGAACUAUGGUUAAAGGGGGCGGGGUUAUGAAAAUGUCUCACCAGAGGCCAAGUUCUUCUCUUAGUUUAAGGUAUGGGGGUUUCCCAAUGCAGCCACUUCAAGACUGGGGGGACCUCAACUCCCAGAAUUCCCCAGCCAGCAUAGUGGCCAUGUUGGGAGGCUG
Non-coding RNA from Pseudonaja textilis, 512 nucleotides. Lineage: Eukaryota; Metazoa; Chordata; Lepidosauria; Squamata; Elapidae. The record is from RefSeq and is a predicted model, not a curated record.